CCUGGAUGAUCCUGCCAGUAGUAUAUGCUUGUCUCAAAGAUUAAGCCUUGCACAUGUAAGUACACACGGCGGUACAGUGAAACUGCGAAUGGCUCAUUAAAUCAGUUAUGGUUCCUUUGAUCGCUCCAUCUGUUACUUGGAUAACUGUGGUAAUUCUAGAGCUAAUACAUGCCGACGAUCAUGGACCUCCUGAGAUGCGUGGAUUUAUCAGACCAAGACCAAUCGGCCGAUCGCACGUCCAGUGACGGCGACGAUGCAUUCGGAUGUCUGCUCUAUCAACUUUCGAUGGUACUUUCUGUGCCUACCAUGGUGACCACGGGAAAUGGGGAAUCGGAGUUCGAUUCCGGAGAGGGAGGCCUGAGAAAUGGCUACCACAUCCAAGGAAGGCAGCAGGCGCGCAAAUUACCCACUACCAUAGGUUGUGACAAAAAAUAACAAUACAGGACUCUUUCGAGGCACUGUAAUUGGAAUGAGUACACUUUAAAUCCUUUAACGAGUACCCAUUGGAGGGCAAGUCUGGUGCCAGCAGGCGCAGUAAUUCCAUCUCCAAUAGCAUAUAUUAAAGUUGCUGCAGUUAAAAGCUCAUAGUUGGAUCUUGGGAUCGAGCUGGCGGUCCCCCGUGAGGCGAACAACCUCCUCUACCAACCCUGCCUCUCGGUGCCACCUUGAUGCUCUUGUCUGAGUGUCCUGGGGGUCCGAAGCGUUUACUUAGAAAAAGAUUGUUCAAAGCAGGCCGGUCACCUGAAAUAAUUGAGCUAGGAAUAAUGGAAUAGGACUCUGGUUCUAUUUAGUUGGUUUUCGGAACUGGGGCCACGAUUAAGAGGGACGGCCGGGGCAUUCGUAUUGUGGCGCUACAGGUGAAAUUCCUGGACCGGCGCAAGAUGAACCAAAGCGAAAGCAUUACCCAAGAAUAUUUUCAUUAAUCAAGAACAAAAGUCUGAGGUUCGAAGAUGAUCUGAUACCGUCGUAGUUCCGACCAUAAACAAUAUCGACUAGCGAUCUUGCAGCAUUAUUCCCAUGACUCGCCGAGCAGCUUCCUGGAAACCAAAGUCUUUUGGGUUCUGGGGGGCGUAUGGUUGCAAAGCUGAAACUUAAAGGAAUUGAUGGAAGGGCACCACCAGGAGUGGAGCCUGCAGCUUAAUUUAACUCAACACCAGAAACCUCACCCGGCCCGGACACAAAAAGGAUUGAUGGAUUGAUAGCUCUUUCUGUGGGUGGUGGUGCAUGGCCGUUCUUAGUUGGUGGAGCGAAUUGUCUGGUUAAUUCUGAUAACGAACAAGACGCCUGCAUGCUAACUAGUUAUGCGACACUCCCCCGCCCCACCCCCAGCAGUCAGUGUUCAACUUAGCGGGAAAAGUGGCGUUCAGCCACAUGAGAUCAAGCAAUAACAGCUCUUGGAUGAUCUGAUACCGUCGUAGUUCCGACCAUUGUCUGGUUAAUUUUGAUAACGAACAAGACGCCUCCAUGCUAACUAGUUAUGCGACACUCCCCCGCCCCCACCCCGAGCAGUCAGCGUUCAACUUAGCGGGAAAAGUGGCGUUCAGCCACAUGAGAUCAAGCAAUAAUAGGUCUGUGAUGCCCUUGGAUGUCUGGGACUGCACGCUUGCUACACUGAACAGAUCAGUGUGUCUACCCUUCGCCGAUAGGUGCGGCUAACCCGUUGAACCCCGUUCGUGCUAGGGAUUGGGGAUUGCAAUUAUUUCCCAUGAAUGAG
RNAcentral lists this ribosomal RNA (1714 nucleotides) under Ambystoma mexicanum (axolotl). RNAcentral describes it as "SSU rRNA". It matches the Rfam family "Eukaryotic small subunit ribosomal RNA", at positions 3 to 1607 of the family's 1831-position model. Lineage: Eukaryota; Metazoa; Chordata; Amphibia; Caudata; Ambystomatidae. The record is from RNAcentral.